GAUGAACGCUGGCGGCGUGCCUAAUACAUGCAAGUCGAGCGAACGGACGAGAAGCUUGCUUCUCUGAUGUUAGCGGCGGACGGGUGAGUAACACGUGGAUAACCUACCUAUAAGACUGGGAUAACUUCGGGAAACCGGAGCUAAUACCGGAUAAUAUUUUGAACCGCAUGGUUCAAAAGUGAAAGACGGUCUUGCUGUCACUUAUAGAUGGAUCCGCGCUGCAUUAGCUGGUUGGUAAGUUAACGGCUUACCAAGGCAACGAUGCAUAGCCGACGGAGCGGGUGAUCGGCCACACGGGAACUGAGACACGGUCCAGACUCCUGCGGGAGGCAGCAGUAGGGAAUCUUCCGCAAUGGGCGAAAGCCUGACGGAGCAACGCCGCGUGAGUGAUGAAGGUCUUCGGAUCGUAAAACUCUGUUAUUAGGGAAGAACAUAUGUGUAAGUAACUGUGCACAUCUUGACGGUACCUAAUCAGAAAGCCACGGCUAACUACGUG
RNAcentral lists this ribosomal RNA (496 nucleotides) under uncultured bacterium. RNAcentral's name for it is "partial 16S ribosomal RNA". It matches the Rfam family "Bacterial small subunit ribosomal RNA", at positions 28 to 507 of the family's 1533-position model. The record is from RNAcentral.